AUUGAACGCUGGCGGCAUGCCUUACACAUGCAAGUCGAACGGCAGCACGGGUGCUUGCCCCUGGUGGCGAGUGGCGAACGGGUGAGUAAUGCAUCGGAACAUGUCCUGUAGUGGGGGAUAGCCCGGCGAAAGCCGGAUUAAUACCGCAUACGAUCUACGGAUGAAAGCGGGGGACCUUCGGGCCUCGCGCUAUCGGGUUGGCCGAUGGCUGAUUAGCUAGUUGGUGGGGUAAAGGCCUACCAAGGCGACGAUCAGUAGCUGGUCUGAGAGGACGACCAGCCACACUGGGACUGAGACACGGACCAGACUCCUAAGGGAGGCAGCAGUGGGGAAUGUUGGACAAUGGGCGAAAGCCUGAUCCAGCAAUGCCGCGUGUGUGAAGAAGGCCUUCGGGUUGUAAAGCACUUUUGUCCGGAAAGAAAUCCUUGGCCCUAAUACGGUCGGGGGAUGACGGUACCGGAAGAAUAAGCACCGGCUAACUACGUG
RNAcentral lists this ribosomal RNA (486 nucleotides) under uncultured bacterium. RNAcentral describes it as "partial 16S ribosomal RNA". It matches the Rfam family "Bacterial small subunit ribosomal RNA", at positions 30 to 507 of the family's 1533-position model. The record is from RNAcentral.